This 253-nucleotide ribosomal RNA is filed under the name uncultured bacterium. Its description in RNAcentral is "partial 16S ribosomal RNA". It matches the Rfam family "Bacterial small subunit ribosomal RNA", at positions 524 to 776 of the family's 1533-position model. The record is from RNAcentral.
UACGAAGGGGGCUAGCGUUGCUCGGAAUUACUGGGCGUAAAGGGAGCGUAGGCGGACAUUUAAGUCAGAGGUGAAAUCCCGGAGCUUAACUUCGGAACUGCCUUUGAUACUGGGUGUCUUGAGUGUGAGAGAGGUAUGUGGAACUCUGAGUGUAGAGGUGAAAUUCGUAGAUAUUCGGAAGAACACCAGUGGCGAAGGCGACAUACUGGCUCAUUACUGACGCUGAGGCUCGAAAGCGUGGGGAGCAAACAGG